Molecule: non-coding RNA, 73 nt
Organism: Trichonephila inaurata madagascariensis
Lineage: Eukaryota; Metazoa; Arthropoda; Arachnida; Araneae; Nephilidae
Source: the annotation of a GenBank genome assembly
AUUCCUGUAGCGCAAUGAAUAGCGCGUUGGUCUUCUGAUCCAAAGGUUGUGGAUUCAAAUCCCACCUGGGCUG